This 468-nucleotide ribosomal RNA is filed under the name uncultured bacterium. RNAcentral describes it as "partial 16S ribosomal RNA". It matches the Rfam family "Bacterial small subunit ribosomal RNA", at positions 28 to 507 of the family's 1533-position model. The record is from RNAcentral.
GACGAACGCUGGCGGCGUGCUUAACACAUGCAAGUCGAACGGAAAGGCGCUGCUUCUGUGGGGUGCUCGAGUGGCGAACGGGGGAGUAACACGUGAAUAACCUGCCCUGGACUUGGGGAUAACUUCAGGAAACUGGGGCUAAUACCGGAUAGGAGCCCCUGCUGCAUGGAGGGGGUUGGAAAGUUUCGGGGGAGGGGGAGGGAGUCGCGCCUUAUCAGCUUGUUGGUGGGGUGGUGGGUUACCAAGGCUUUGGGGGGCAGCCGGCCUGAGAGGGGGAGCGGCGACACUGGGGCAGAGAGACGGCGCAGACUCCUCCGGGAGGCAGAAGUGGGGAAUAUUGUGGAAUGGGGGGACGCCUGUGGCAGCAACGCUGCGUGUGGGAGAAGGGCCUUCGCGGUGUAAAAAGUUCUUGCAUGAGACGAAGCGAGAAUGACGGUACUGGGUAAAGAAGCACCGGCUAACUACGUG